GCGAGAUUAGUUUAGUGGCAGAAUGACUGCUUCCCAAGCAGUAGACACGAGUUCGAUUCUCGUAUCUCGCA
This 71-nucleotide transfer RNA is filed under the name Candidatus Parcubacteria bacterium. Its description in RNAcentral is "tRNA-Gly". It matches the Rfam family "tRNA". From Rfam's summary of the family: Transfer RNA (tRNA) molecules are approximately 80 nucleotides in length. Their secondary structure includes four short double-helical elements and three loops (D, anti-codon, and T loops). The record is from RNAcentral. Lineage: Bacteria; Candidatus Parcubacteria.